Molecule: long non-coding RNA, 1236 nt
Filed under: Athene cunicularia (burrowing owl)
Lineage: Eukaryota; Metazoa; Chordata; Aves; Strigiformes; Strigidae
Description: lncRNA (ENSACUG00000004117.1)
Source: RNAcentral
CGCCUCUUCGCCAGAUGUCAUCUGGGAGUGUUCCUGGCUCUUCUGGAGAGAACAUGAUUUACUAUCUCCUAACUGGUGUUGCUGCUUUUGGUGGUUUAUUUUAUGCCUACAGAGUAGUCACUUCAUCCCGCACCAAGUAUAUUGAACAUCUGAAUAUUCUUCAGGAGAGAGCUGAAGGGCGGAAAAACAAACCUUGGUCAAGCAAGGGUUCACUUCUGCAAGGUACUGAGCUUUAACCUUAGUCUACCAAAAUGUUUGAGUGGGAUACCUGCAGAGUCAGUGGUGCUGUUGACCCACUGAAGGCUAUACCUGUGUUGCCUGAGACUGGGGUAAGAGUACUCAGUGCUCUGUUAACUUCCUUAAUUCUGACUUCAGGUACUCUCCAGACAUCCCAUAAUCUGAUGCUUUGUGCUGCUUAGUAACUUUACAUAAAUGUCACAACCAAUGGCAGAUGAUUGCUGCCUCCCUUCUUAUUGACUGGAUGAAGUCCAAAACAUUUCUAAGGCCAUACAGUGAACCUGAUUUCCUAUAUUAUUUUCAAUAUUGGACUUCUGAAUCAAUGCUCAACCCAGAGGUUUUAACUGGACUUCUGAGUUGCUAAUUCCAAUUCACAAUACAAAACUACUGUUGAAUCAGCUCUUUUUAAAAUCCUUCACCAUUCCCAACUGUAUCCUCCCAAAAGAGAUUUCUGUUCUUAUUUUUCCUCUGGAAUCUUCUGUGUGCUUUCUCAAAAGAAUUAACGUCUCUCUUCCCCCCCUUUUUCCCUGUUGCUGCACAGUCAUAUUUUUGUGUCUAUCUUGUCACAGAGUGCUACCCUAGUAUUGCUUUUCCCAGAAAUGCCACUGCAGCUUCUUUCCCCACACACUCUUUAGAUUCAGGUAGUCCUUAUGCUCUUUCACAGUAAGCAUUGCUGAUAAGAGCAAUUAAAAAUUCUCGUCUUGAAGUAAUCUAGAUUUUUUAAGGAACACAUAAAAUCAAGCUUAAAAUAAGCUAUAAACCAGUGCUGGUAAUAAUAGGAAGUGGUGGAUAGAAAAGCAGAAUGCCAAACACCACAUUCAUGGCAUAGUUGCUACAUGUCCUGUGGUAAGAGAAGAACUUUCUAGCUGGAAAAACUUAAUACUAGGCAGCAGCUGAUCAGAGAGAGACCUCCUUGAUAUGAGUGAUUUUUGUGGUUUCUCAUCCUGAGGAAAAUUCUCCCCUUGUGCCCAGACCCAAAAUGUUGGUUAUAAAGAACUG